GACGAACGCUGGCGGCGUGCUUAACACAUGCAAGUCGAACGGAAAGGCACUGCUUUUGUGGGGUGCUCGAGUGGCGAACGGGUGAGUAACACGUGAGUAACCUGCCCUUGACUUUGGGAUAACUUCAGGAAACUGGGGCUAAUACCGGAUAGGAGCUCCUGCUGCAUGGUGGGGGUUGGAAAGUUUCGGCGGUUGGGGAUGGACUCGCGGCUUAUCAGCUUGUUGGUGGGGUAGUGGCUUACCAAGGCUUUGACGGGUAGCCGGCCUGAGAGGGUGACCGGACACAUUGGGACUGAGAUACGGCCCAGACUCCUACGGGAGGCAGCAGUGGGGAAUAUUGCACAAUGGGCGGAAGCCUGAUGCAGCAACGCCGCGUGCGGGAUGACGGCCUUCGGGUUGUAAACCGCUUUCGCCUGUGACGAAGCGUGAGUGACGGUAAUGGGUAAAGAAGCACCGGCUAACUACGUG
Molecule: ribosomal RNA, 468 nt
Filed under: uncultured bacterium
Lineage: Bacteria
Description: partial 16S ribosomal RNA
Rfam family: Bacterial small subunit ribosomal RNA
Source: RNAcentral